GCCCCGGUGGCUUAGCCUGGUAUAGCGUCCGCUUGGUAAGCGGGAGGUCGCGGGUUCGGAUCCCGCCCGGGGCU
Non-coding RNA from Thermoplasmatales archaeon, 74 nucleotides. NCBI's taxonomy places the organism in Archaea, Methanobacteriati, Thermoplasmatota, Thermoplasmata, Thermoplasmatales. The record is from Rfam.